GUGUUUUGAUUACUGUACAAUUGUCCUGCUGUGUCUGUGCCACUGAAAUGCUAUCAUGGCUUAGUGGUUCAGUACAG
This is a small nucleolar RNA of Protopterus annectens (West African lungfish), 77 nucleotides long. RefSeq annotates it as small nucleolar RNA SNORD66. NCBI's taxonomy places the organism in Eukaryota, Metazoa, Chordata, Ceratodontiformes, Protopteridae. The record is from RefSeq and is a predicted model, not a curated record. The transcript has a single exon.